CCUACGGGUGGCUGCAGUGGGGAAUAUUGGGCAAUGGGCGCAAGCCUGACCCAGCAAUACCGCGUGAGUGAAGAAGGCCUUCGGGUUGUAAAGCUCUUUUAUCAGGGACGAAUAGAUGACGGUACCUGACGAAUAAGCCACGGCUAACUACGUGCCAGCAGCCGCGGUAAAACGUAGGGGGCGAGCGUUUUCCGGAAUGACUGGGCGUAAAGGGGGCGUAGGCGGGUUGAAAAGGUAGAAGUGAAAUACCCCGAGCUUAACUCAGGUGCUGCAUCUAAGACUGUUGAGCUUGAGUGCGGGAGAGGUUAAUGGAAUUCCUAGUGUAGCGGUGGAAUGCGUAGAUAUUAGGAGGAACACCAGAGGCGAAGGCGAUUAACUGGACCGUAACUGACGGUGAGGCACGAAAGUGUGGGGAGCAAACAGGAUUAGAUACCCGAGUAGUC
RNAcentral lists this ribosomal RNA (443 nucleotides) under uncultured bacterium. Its description in RNAcentral is "partial 16S ribosomal RNA". It matches the Rfam family "Bacterial small subunit ribosomal RNA", at positions 338 to 795 of the family's 1533-position model. The record is from RNAcentral.